AGGUUAUGGAUGGACAGCAUUAAUGUUGGCAGCCAUGGAGAGGACAUGUGGAAGUGUCUCGACUACUUCUGGAGAACAGAUGUAACAAAGAUAUCACAGAUGUAUGUUAUCUACUAAAUCUGAUCACAUUACUUUUAAUCAAACACAAAAUCAUGUUGUUAAUUAGACAGGUUUAAUGAACAAAUAUUUGUAAUAAUUAUAUAAAGUGGGGUCUCAUUUUACUCAUAGUAUUGUUCUGAAUCAGAAAAUAUAACUUUUUUCAUUUUUCUUUGAAAAAUUUACUUUUAUAAAAUUUAUGAUUUUACUGAAUCUACACUAAAUCCUGUUGUUAAUCAGACAGUUUUAAUUAAUGUGACUAUUUCAUUUUGUUUAUAUUUAUUACACAACAUUGUCCAGUUUAUCAGACAAGUUUUGAUGUCAGUUGUAUUAUUCCAGGUUAGAUGGAUGGACAGCAUUAAUGUUGGCAGCCAGGGAGGACAUGUGGAAGUGUCUCGACUACUUCUGGAGAACAGAUGUAACAAAGAUAUCACAGAUGUAUGUUAUCUACUAAAUCUGAUCACAUUACUUUUAAUCAACACAAAAUCAUGUUGUUAAUUAGACAGGUUUAAUGAACAACAAAUAUUAUUUGUUAGAAUCAUAUAAAGUGGGGUCUCAUUUUACUUGUCUCCUCGUACUAAAUCAGGAAAUGUAACUAUUUUUCAUAUUUCUUUGAAAAAGUUUUUUUUUUUAAAUUGAUCAUUAUUCUGAACCAUGUUAAUCAGACAGAUUUCAUUAUUAUAUCAACAAAUACUUGCUAGAAUUAUAUAAAGUGAGAUCUCAUUUAUCUCUGUGCAUUGCACUGAAUCCCUUGAUAUAAAUAUUUUAUGCAUUUCUUGAAAAAAGGUUAACAUGACAUUUCUGAUGGAAGUUCUGACAUCCCACAAAAAAAACUUGUUGUUUAUUUGUUGUUUAUGUACAAUAUGAAUACAAGUGUGACUGGUCAUUUUGUUCAGUUUUGACCACUGAUUCAUGUGAGAUACAUUUUUUUUUUUAUUUAUUACACAACAUUAUUCCUGUUUAUCAGACAAGUUUUAUAUCAGUUGUAGGAUAUGUUGUAUACUAUUUAUAUUGGUAACAAAGUAGUAUCCAUAAUAUUUACAUGUUAUUUGGUAUUAUUAUAGAGAGAUGGUAAAACAGCUCUACAUCUGGCUGCUGAGUGGAGACGUCUACAUGUCACAAGAUGUCUAGUAGAAGAAGGAGGCAUCAGUCCCUUUGUUAAAACACAUGAGG
This 1269-nucleotide long non-coding RNA is filed under the name Mytilus galloprovincialis (Mediterranean mussel). The record is from RNAcentral. Lineage: Eukaryota; Metazoa; Mollusca; Bivalvia; Mytilida; Mytilidae.